This 377-nucleotide ribosomal RNA is filed under the name uncultured bacterium. Its description in RNAcentral is "bacterial SSU rRNA". It matches the Rfam family "Bacterial small subunit ribosomal RNA", at positions 29 to 431 of the family's 1533-position model. The record is from RNAcentral.
AGCGAACGCUGGCGGCAGGCUUAACACAUGCAAGUCGAACGGGCGUAGCAAUACGUCAGUGGCAGACGGGUGAGUAACGCGUGGGAACGUACCUUUUGGUUCGGAACAACCCAGGGAAACUUGGGCUAAUACCGGAUAAGCCCUUACGGGGAAAGAUUUAUCGCCGAAAGAUCGGCCCGCGUCUGAUUAGCUAGUUGGUGUGGUAACGGCGCACCAAGGCGACGAUCAGUAGCUGGUCUGAGAGGAUGAUCAGCCACAUUGGGACUGAGACACGGCCCAAACUCCUACGGGAGGCAGCAGUGGGGAAUAUUGGACAAUGGGCGCAAGCCUGAUCCAGCCAUGCCGCGUGAGUGAUGAAGGCCCUAGGGUUGUAAAGC